Molecule: ribosomal RNA, 253 nt
Filed under: uncultured bacterium
Lineage: Bacteria
Description: partial 16S ribosomal RNA
Rfam family: Bacterial small subunit ribosomal RNA
Source: RNAcentral
UACGAAGGGGGCUAGCGUUGCUCGGAAUUACUGGGCGUAAAGCGCACGUAGGCGGCUUUCUAAGUCGGGGGUGAAAUCCUGGAGCUCAACUCCAGAACUGCCUUCGAUACUGGAGAGCUUGAGUCCGGGAGAGGUGAGUGGAACUGCGAGUGUAGAGGUGAAAUUCGUAGAUAUUCGCAAGAACACCAGUGGCGAAGGCGGCUCACUGGCCCGGUACUGACGCUGAGGUGCGAAAGCGUGGGGAGCGAACAGG